Molecule: long non-coding RNA, 271 nt
Filed under: Ananas comosus (pineapple)
Lineage: Eukaryota; Viridiplantae; Streptophyta; Magnoliopsida; Poales; Bromeliaceae
Description: long non-coding RNA (ACOM_LNC041209)
Source: RNAcentral
GAACAUGGCCUUGGCCGACUGCCGCAGCCGCCGCUUGACGCUCCAUAAGCUCCUGGAGCCGAUCGAACCGCCCUGCUAACGCAGCAACUUGUGCCCGCAAUUCUUGCACCUCACUAGGCCCAGCUGGCUCUGGCGCCGCCGGGGGCACAGCUGACUCGGGCACCCCUAGGGGUGGUGCUGGAGCAGUCCUACGCACGUAGCGUCUCUUCGGUGCCAUUAACUCCUGAAACGCAAACAAUCGGUUAAUUACUUAACCCAACCACGUCUUCGC